GGGCGGAUAGAUCAGUUUGGCAUGAUCGCCACGUUGGCAUCGUGGAGGUCGCGGGUUCAAAUCCCGCUCCGUCCACCA
Molecule: transfer RNA, 78 nt
Filed under: Candidatus Bathyarchaeota archaeon RBG_13_46_16b
Lineage: Archaea; Thermoproteati; Candidatus Bathyarchaeota
Also listed under: 1 other name
Description: tRNA-Ala
Rfam family: tRNA
About the family: Transfer RNA (tRNA) molecules are approximately 80 nucleotides in length. Their secondary structure includes four short double-helical elements and three loops (D, anti-codon, and T loops). Further hydrogen bonds mediate the characteristic L-shaped molecular structure. tRNAs have two regions of fundamental functional importance: the anti-codon, which is responsible for specific mRNA codon recognition, and the 3' end, to which the tRNAs corresponding amino acid is attached (by aminoacyl-tRNA synthetases). tRNAs cope with the degeneracy of the genetic code in two manners: having more than one tRNA (with a specific anti-codon) for a particular amino acid; and 'wobble' base-pairing, i.e. permitting non-standard base-pairing at the 3rd anti-codon position.
Source: RNAcentral